RNAcentral lists this transfer RNA (65 nucleotides) under Anastatus shichengensis. RNAcentral describes it as "tRNA-Cys". Lineage: Eukaryota; Metazoa; Arthropoda; Insecta; Hymenoptera; Eupelmidae. The record is from RNAcentral.
AAUUAAAUAUUUUAAAUAAAAUUUUAAAUUGCAAAUUUAAAAAUUCAAUUAGAUUGAUUUAAUUU